UACAGAGGGUGCGAGCGUUAAUCGGAAUCACUGGGCGUAAAGGGUGCGUAGGUGGAUAGUUACGUGUGAUGUGAAAUCCCUGGGCUUAACCUGGGAAUGGCAUCGCAAACUGGUUAUCUAGAGGUCAGAAGAGGUGAGUGGAAUUUCCGGUGUAGCAGUGAAAUGCGUAGAGAUCGGAAGGAACACCCGAGGCGAAGGCGGCUCACUGGUCUGACACUGACACUGAGGCACGAAAGCGUGGGGAGCAAAC
This 250-nucleotide ribosomal RNA is filed under the name uncultured bacterium. Its description in RNAcentral is "partial 16S ribosomal RNA". It matches the Rfam family "Bacterial small subunit ribosomal RNA", at positions 524 to 773 of the family's 1533-position model. The record is from RNAcentral.